Gymnodraco acuticeps is the source of this 1251-nucleotide long non-coding RNA. RefSeq lists it as uncharacterized. The transcript is spliced from 6 exons. NCBI's taxonomy places the organism in Eukaryota, Metazoa, Chordata, Actinopteri, Perciformes, Bathydraconidae. The record is from RefSeq and is a predicted model, not a curated record.
AGGUUAGCAUGUUAAGCUGUACUUUUUGUGGCAGCUAGCUUAAUACAAAGAGGGGUUUUGUGCUUCAUUGCAAACUUUUCUUUGUUAAUCUACCUGAAACUGUAGGGACAGUUUGUUUCUACUCAACUAUACAGACCAUUGUUGAGGAGAUGCAAAACAUACUGUACAUGAGUUGGGUCCAACAUAUACCUUGAGUAAUGUUACUUUGCUGCUAAAAAUGAAACAUCAUUAUCAGAUGAGGACAUCACCAAAGUGUGUGAGCCUGUCAGGGGAUUUGAUCUGUUCUCUGCAUGUCCUAAACACUGCUCUGGUAUUACUUAUCUUGUAACAUGUAAGUCUCCCGCUCUUGUCAUCUUUCAGGCUUUGCAUUUGAACUCCUAUGACUGGUUGCGGACUUGAAGGGAACGCCUUCCUGACAUCCAGGAAAAAGGUGAGAUUAUAAUACAUUUGAAUGCCAAAAGCAAGUUAUUGUUUUUAACUUUUGAAAUAUGAUUGUUUUGGGGCAUUUCAGUUUUAUUGGACAGGCAGUAGAGAUCUACUGGAAACAGUGGAGAGGGAGGAGAUGAUAUGCAGCAUACGGCCCAGCCGGAUGGUUGCUGUUCCGUGUGGAACGUGUCCUAUCAGGUGUAACAUCUACCAAUGGUUGUACAUGACAGAGACCUCCUCCGCCUCUUUGCUGUCUUACUAGUCAAUCCUUCUGAUCAGGUCCUUUCCUAAAUAGUGAAAGGAUCAUGCCAGCCCACAUCAAACACCUGAUCAAGAGCUUGUGAACCUCACUGCUGCAGACACCUGUGUGAUAUUCCACUCUGACUGGAACCCUCAAAAUGACCUGCAGGCUCAAGCUCGGUUCGUCAUCGUUUUGGCCAGUCUAAGGCGGUGGAGGUGUACCGUCUGAUCACUAGAAACUAUGAGAGGGAAAUGCUGGAUAAAGCUAGUCUGAAGCUCGGGCUGGACCGUCCCGUCCUGCAGAGCAUGAGUGGCAACAACAACGGGCCGGUCCAGCAGUUAUCCAAGAAGGAGAUCGAGGACCUGCUGAGGAAAGGAGCCUACGCCGCCAUCAUGGACGAGAACGACGAAGGCAAUCGCUUCUGCUAGGAGGACAUCGACCAGAUCCUGCAGCGAAGAGCCACCAUCAUCACCAUCACCAGUUUGCUUCAAGCAGUGGCUGCACGAGAAAGACGUGGAGGACCAAGAAAUGCUGGCCAGAUUGGCAAAGACCGGAAGAUACAUAACAGAGAAGAUAAUGGAUAU